GCUGCCGCGAGGUGGGGUCUGAAGGAAGCGUGGAGCAAAACCGCGGCUCCAUGGACAAGAACCGGAUAACGAGGCCUACCCCGUCGGACGAGCGAGCAAGGGAUCGCGAAGUCCACAGUCAUCAAGUGCCGGGGUGGUAAAUCCGGCGAACGCGCUGUGAAGGCGAUCGGU
This 171-nucleotide non-coding RNA is filed under the name Bradyrhizobium vignae. The record is from RNAcentral. Lineage: Bacteria; Pseudomonadati; Pseudomonadota; Alphaproteobacteria; Hyphomicrobiales; Nitrobacteraceae.